UACCCAUGGUUAGGACACAUAUUCAACAACUCCUUAAAUCUCUCACAAGACUAAUACAAAGUCUCACUAUCCUCUUGUGCAAAGGUGGAGAUUUAUCUUUUUAAAGCG
Small nucleolar RNA from Juglans microcarpa x Juglans regia, 108 nucleotides. NCBI's taxonomy places the organism in Eukaryota, Viridiplantae, Streptophyta, Magnoliopsida, Fagales, Juglandaceae. The record is from RefSeq and is a predicted model, not a curated record.